This is a long non-coding RNA of Ipomoea nil (Japanese morning glory), 109 nucleotides long. RefSeq lists it as uncharacterized. The transcript has 3 exons. The record is from RefSeq and is a predicted model, not a curated record. Lineage: Eukaryota; Viridiplantae; Streptophyta; Magnoliopsida; Solanales; Convolvulaceae.
AAAAAUGAAAAAUGAGGAAGUUAUAGUAGACAGGAUACAAUGAAGGGAAAUUCAAGUGCUAAAAAAUCAAUAACAUUGAUAACAAUGCUUAAUCUGAUCCCUUUUUUAU